CUUGAACAGUGUGGGUUUGAACUG
This 24-nucleotide microRNA is filed under the name Eptesicus fuscus (big brown bat). RNAcentral describes it as "efu-miR-9263". The record is from miRBase by way of RNAcentral. Lineage: Eukaryota; Metazoa; Chordata; Mammalia; Chiroptera; Vespertilionidae.